Molecule: ribosomal RNA, 501 nt
Filed under: uncultured bacterium
Lineage: Bacteria
Description: bacterial LSU rRNA
Rfam family: Bacterial large subunit ribosomal RNA
Source: RNAcentral
GCUGUGGAUAGGGGUGAAAGGCCAAUCAAACACCGUGAUAGCUGGUUCUCCCCGAAAUGCAUAUAGGUGCAGCGUCGUGCGUUUCUUGUCGGAGGUAGAGCACUGGAUGGUCUAGGGGGCCCACAAGCUUACCGAAAUCAGCCAAACUCCGAAUGCCGACAAGUGAGAGCACGGCAGUGAGACUGCGGGCGAUAAGGUUCGUAGUCGAAAGGGAAACAGCCCAGAUCAUCAGCUAAGGCCCCUAAGCGAUAACUAAGUGGAAAAGGAUGUGGAGUUGCGGAGACAACCAGGAGGUUGGCUUGGAAGCAGCCACCCUUGAAAGAGUGCGUAAUAGCUCACUGGUCAAGUGAUUCUGCGCCGACAAUUUAGCGGGGCUCAAGUUAUCCGCCGAAGCUAUGGCAUUCGCAUGUGUACCUGACUUCGGUCCAGGUGUGCGGAUGGGUAGGGGAGCGUCGGGUGUGCAAGGAAGCGGCGGGGUGACCCAGCCGUGGAGUGCACUCG